This 1401-nucleotide long non-coding RNA is filed under the name Marmota monax (woodchuck). Lineage: Eukaryota; Metazoa; Chordata; Mammalia; Rodentia; Sciuridae. The record is from RNAcentral.
UAGAGUGAAAUAUUUAAAGCAUUGAAAGCAAAAAGUCACCAACCUAGAUUUCUGUAUCAAGAGAAAUUAUCUUUAAGAAUUGAAGAAGAAAUACAUUCUCAGACAAACAAAAUUUGAGGAAUUUUGUCACCAGUAAGCCUGCCUUACAAGAAAUAAAGAAAUUCUUUAGAAAGAAGGAAAAUAUUUGAUAUAAAUCAGAAACUAAGAGCUACAUAAAGGAAGAGCACUGAAGAAGGAAUAAAAGAACUUAAAAUAAAAUCUUUGAUUUUUCUUAUUCUUAAUUGAACUAACAGAUAACAGUUUCUCAAAUAAUAAUAAUAACAAAGUAGUUGUUGAUGACAGCUUAGAAUGUUAUAGCUUUUAUGAGUAAAUGACAGCAAUGUUAUCAAGUACAUGAGGGAGGAAUUGAGAAUACUUAGUUAAAAGACAUUUGAACUAAAUGACAGAAAUGUUAUCAAGUACAUGAAGGAGGAAUUGAGAAUACUUAGUUAAAAUACAUUUGAACUACCUGUGAUGAGGAAUAGUGUUACUUAAGAGAAGAUCUGAAAAGGUUGUAAACAUAUACUGCAAACUCAAGACCAAACUACUAAAUAUUUUUAAAGAAUAAUAAUGAUAUCCUAAGAAUGUAGUGCUAAUUGAAAUAAGACAAAAAAGACAAAACAAGUAUCAUGAGUCCUCUUAUGUAAGGUACACAAAAAGUAUAAUAAAGGUUCCCAGGGACAAUGAAGAGGAGGAAAUGGGAAGUUACUGUUUAAUGUGUACCAAGAUUCUAUUGGAGAUGAUUAUAGAAGUUCUGCAGAUAGUUGUACAACACUAUGAAUAUACUUAAUGCCAUUGAAUUAUACACAUAAAAAUUAAAUAGUAAACUUUAUGUAUAUUUUUAUUAAAACAGUUUGUUUUAAUUGAAUGGUUGCUAAAGGGUUUUAAAUAUGCAUCUUUAAUUAGUUGGAGUCUACUUAUAAAUAAUAUUUUACCACUUCUUGUGUAUAUAAAGAUCUUACAAUGUUAUGCUCCCAAAUCCUCCCUCCCAUUUUUCAUGCUACUGUAGUUACAUAUUAUAAACACAAAUAUUUUCUAUUUUUGCUUCAAAGUUAGCUUUAAAAAAAUAAACCUCAUAUAUACAUACAUUCAUGCUCUUUUCCAUCAUUUUCAUAUUUCUUUGAAUAUAUUCAAAUUUCUGUCUUAUCAAAUUCCCCUGUCAUAAGAACUUCCUUAACAGUUUCUGUAGUCUAGGUCUGCUGGUAAUGAAUUUUCUUACUGUACGUUUUCCGGGGGAUAAGUUUUUAUUUUUUCUUCACAUUUGGAUGGAAUUUUUUUCUGGGCUGACAAGUUUUUUCUUUCAAUACUUCUACUCCACUGUGUUCUAAGUUACAUAGUUUCUAUAAAGAAUGGCACUGUGGG